GGAGCAAAUUCAGGACCUGACCCAUAAGAACUGGUGGAGAAUCAUCUGUUGAAUAGAUGCUGAAUGUUUGUGCCUCUCUGCUCUCCAACAAGAUGUCAUGCUCCUUGAUGACGAGAGCCACCGCUGAUCUCCUAUAUCCAGUCAACAUCUUCCAGAAAACAGACCAUCAAUAUGCAUUUGCAGCAUAUAUUGCAAAGACAAUGCCUAGAAGAGAGCAGCCACUUUGUGACCAUGAAGUUGGAGUCCGCACUACAGAAGAUCUGCCACUGAACAACGUGCACCUGGAAGAGGAGACAGAACACGUAAUCCUAAGAGAAAAAGGAAGGGAAGGGCUGAGCCACGCACGCCCUGUUCCUUCUUUCACAUUUUUCACUGAGGAAGAGCAAGUGAUAAGUGCUUUUCUUCAGCCAAGCCAGAGGACCAUGGACUCUGUUGGUGUAGCCCAGAGGCAUGAGUCUCCCAAGACAUGGUAAAGGCUCGAGGGUCAAUUUGGAGGAAAAAACGGAAAACAGGAGGGACAGCAAUAGAAUCUGCUUAUACUAUAAAAUUGCAUGCAGAACAUUUUGUGUCUCAGGAUCUCUGUGUUUUGUUCCUGUGGCAACCAGCUGUGAGAUGAUAUACCUUCAGAACAGAGAGAUGGAGCGAAACUUCAUCCCAUGGGAAUGCAUCUCCUUUUUGCUCCACAGAGCCCCAUCCAUCAUUUUCGCAUUGCAGAGACCCAGCUGAUGCAGGCCCAGCAAGGGAAUGGAAGAUAUCAACAGUAAGAGUCUCUUUGUUGUCUUGGUAUGGAUACUUUUGGUUAUCUUGAUAAAUUAUCAUUUUGUCUGCUUCUUUAUGUAUUAUUUUUAUAAUUAUUUAUGUUAUAGUAAGAAUGUGACAAAAAAACAACAACAAAAGAUUGACUUCAACUCUCAAUCUAUAUUAAAAGCUCCAUUAAUUAGGCAACCUUUGGAAUGGAAAUAAGCAAAAUCCCUUUAUCAAUUGUGUCAUAUAUAUGGAAGGACUAGGUGCAUUAAUUAACUGUAUUUGGAGGUUAACAUCAGAUGAUAGUUUAUUUUUUCAAAUUCCAAUCCUUUUUGUUAUUUUUUUUUUGAGACAAGGUCUCUGUCACCCAGGUUCUGCCUCCUGGGUUCAAGUGAUUCUCCUGUCUCAGUCUCCUGAGUAGCUGGGAUUACAGAUGUAUGCCACCAUGCUCAGCUAAUUUUUGUAUUUUUAGUGGAGAUCGUGUUUUACCAGGUUGGCCAGGCUGGUCUCGACUUUCUGACUUCACGUCAUCAACCUGCCUUGGUAUCUCAAAGUACUGGGGUGCCCAGCCAUCAAAUUCCAAUCUUUUAAGGAUAAAGAAUACACUUGAUCAUUUUGGAAAGUGGGUGGAAUUUUAAGAUGGCCCCCAAGAUUCCCAUGUAAUUCCCAAGACUGCAUCUAUGAUGGGUUUUAUAUUGUCAUUAGGUUAGUUAUGUGAAACCGUUAAAAUUAAGAAAAUGAGAUUAUCUUAGGUAGACUUAACCUAUUUAGAUGACCUGGGCUCUUCCUGAAGAGAGAGAUUUAAAAUGCAAAAGCGAUUCCAUGUGAAGUCUUUAUUAUUGGCUUGAAGAUGGAGGAGGCCACAUGACAAAGGCCUAAGGGUGGCCUCAGGAGCUGUGAGUGCCCCUUGGCCAGCAUCAAGGAAACAGAGACCUUAGUCCUAUAACCGCAAGGAACUGAAUUCUGUGACAAUCACUGGAGAAGGAUCUUGAACUUCAGUUAAGAAUGUGUUAGCCAGUGCCUUGAUUUUAGCCCAUGUGUAUCUGAGCAGAGAAUCCAGCCAUGGUGUACCCUACCUUCUGAUCUACAAGCUGUGAAAUAAUGCAUUAGCAUUGGUUUAAGCCACUGAGUUUGUGGUGAUUUAUUAUGGAGCAAUAGAAAAUGAAUAGAAGACCUCACCCAUUUUCUGUUGACAUUUGCGGCAGACGAAACCACAGGAGGAGAGGCAAUGUAAGUGGCAAUCAAGAGCUCUAAUUCCAGAAUCCUAGACCCAGGUUUGUGGUUCAGUUCUACCCAAUUACAAACUAUAUGCAUUCUGCCAAAUGCAAAACCUCAGUUUUCUCACCUGCACAAAGAAAAAUCAUUAUUGGUUUCUCUUAGAAUUGUUGAGAGGCUUAUAUGAUAUAAUAAAAGUAAAGAACUAAGAAUUGUGGCUGGCCCAUGUAAGAGCUAUAAGUGUUAACUAUGAUUAUCUGGGGAAAAAAGGACUAGAACAUUGAUUUUGAGAGCUUGAAAAUAGGAGGGCUCAUUAAUCAACCAAUAAUCAUAUACUUUUGGCAGUUUAACGAUAUAUUAGUAUUUUUUAAUCCCAUGUAAUCAUCAUUACCCCAUGAAGAAGAUAUUAUUAACAUUAUUUCUUUUCAACCUUUUGUUUUGAAAUAAUUAUAGGCUCACAUAAAGUUGCAAAAAUAAUACAAAGAGGCCCCAUAUACCCUUCCUUCAGCUAAAGAUGACAUCUUACAUCACUGUAGCACAUUAUCAAAACUAGGAAACGGACAUUGGUACAAUACAGUUAUCUAGACUACAGACCUUAUUCACCUUACUCAAGUCUCACUGGUAAUGACUUCAUUUUGCAGAUGAGAAAACAGGUUUACCUCAACUGCUGAUUUCAAUUGCCCCUUGAAAGUUGUGGUCAAAUUACGUGGAUUUAUGUUAUGAAAUGUUUAUCUCUGUUGCCUAUUUGUGCUUUGUGACAGAUGAGUGUGGAAAAAUGUAGCACCACUUGACCACUCUAAUGAAAACUCAACUGUACUUAAAAUUCCAAAAUUUUAUUUCUGACAAGAAACAUGUAUUUUUUUCAGGGAAAGAAAGAUUAUAUUUUUGAUCUUGACCGUGUGAGGGCAAGCUGACAUUGGAUGUUGACAAGAUCACAAUAACCCAGAUAGAUGCACAACAAUUGGUGCCCUGGUACCAAAUUCCAGUGCCCAUAAAUAUCUGCAAAAUAGUCUCAAUUUUUUUUAGUUAUCACCAAAGGCAGGGAUUCUCAUAUGAAAGAAAGCUGAAAGUAACCUAGGAAUCAAUUCCUUAAGAUCUAGGUAAAACUGGCUUGAAUCUCUGCCAGUUAGUCUGUGGGAGUUUUUAAGAUUUCAGUGAGUUCUUUGAAGGGAUUAUAUCCCCUUCCCCUGGUUUGCCUCUAGGAAUUUUAUUCUGACAUAGUAUAAUUUUAUAUUAAUAAAUAUAG
Callithrix jacchus (white-tufted-ear marmoset) is the source of this 3205-nucleotide non-coding RNA. NCBI's taxonomy places the organism in Eukaryota, Metazoa, Chordata, Mammalia, Primates, Cebidae. The record is from RefSeq and is a predicted model, not a curated record.